RNAcentral lists this long non-coding RNA (211 nucleotides) under Elaeis guineensis (African oil palm). RNAcentral describes it as "long non-coding RNA (EGUI_LNC011888)". The record is from RNAcentral. Lineage: Eukaryota; Viridiplantae; Streptophyta; Magnoliopsida; Arecales; Arecaceae.
UGAGUUUUAUUUUGAUCAAGUCUUUGAGAAGGAAGAAGCUCCCAAGUAUGUUGAUAAAAUUCAGACAUUAUUAAAUAAUUUGCUGAAGAGCUACACGUCAGGUAACAUUUCAAAUGCAGAAAAUGUUAAAGAUAGUGAGGGACAAUCAACUAUCAAGUCAAAGCUUGAUUAUGAUGAUAGUGCUUUACUUUCUUUUAUUCAAAGUAAAAAG